UGCAGAAUCCCGUGAACCAUCGAGUCUUUGAACGCAAGUUGCGCCCGAGGCCUUUGGGUCGAGGGCACGCCUGCCUGGGCGUCACGC
This 87-nucleotide ribosomal RNA is filed under the name Gagea oxycarpa. RNAcentral describes it as "Lloydia oxycarpa partial 5.8S ribosomal RNA". It matches the Rfam family "5.8S ribosomal RNA", at positions 73 to 154 of the family's 154-position model. Rfam says of the family: 5.8S ribosomal RNA (5.8S rRNA) is a component of the large subunit of the eukaryotic ribosome. It is transcribed by RNA polymerase I as part of the 45S precursor that also contains 18S and 28S rRNA. Lineage: Eukaryota; Viridiplantae; Streptophyta; Magnoliopsida; Liliales; Liliaceae. The record is from RNAcentral.